GAUGAACGCUGGCGGCGCGCCUAACACAUGCAAGUCGAACGAUUAAAGCACCUUCGGGUGUGUAUAAAGUGGCGAACGGCUGAGUAACACGUGGGCAACCUGCCCCUUUCAUUGGGAUAGCCACGGGAAACCGUGGAUAAUACCGAAUACUUCGAGACUUCCGCAUGGAAGACUCGAGAAAGCUCCGGCGGAGAGGGAUGGGCCCGCGGCCUGUUAGCUUGUUGGUGGGGUAACGGCCUACCAAGGCAAUAAUGGGUAGCUGGGUUGAGAGACCGACCAGCCAGAUUGGGACUGAGACACGGCCCAGACUCCUACGGGAGGCAGCAGUGGGGAAUCUUGCACAAUGGGCGAAAGCCUGAUGCAGCGACGCCGCGUGCGGGAUGAAGGCCUUCGGGUUGUAAACCGCUUUCAGCAGGGACGAGGCGAAAGUGGCGGUACCUGCAGAAGAAGCCCCGGCUAACUACGUG
RNAcentral lists this ribosomal RNA (467 nucleotides) under uncultured bacterium. Its description in RNAcentral is "partial 16S ribosomal RNA". It matches the Rfam family "Bacterial small subunit ribosomal RNA", at positions 28 to 507 of the family's 1533-position model. The record is from RNAcentral.